This 3021-nucleotide ribosomal RNA is filed under the name Bacillus sp. WL1. RNAcentral describes it as "23S ribosomal RNA". It matches the Rfam family "Bacterial large subunit ribosomal RNA". Lineage: Bacteria; Bacillati; Bacillota; Bacilli; Caryophanales; Bacillaceae. The record is from RNAcentral.
GGUUAAGUUAGAAAGGGCGCACGGUGGAUGCCUUGACACUAGGAGUCGAUGAAGGACGGGACUAACGCCGAUAUGCUUCGGGGAGCUGUAAGUAAGCUUUGAUCCGAAGAUUUCCGAAUGGGGAAACCCACCAUACGUAAUGGUAUGGUAUCCUUAUCUGAAUACAUAGGGUAAGGAAGACAGACCCAGGGAACUGAAACAUCUAAGUACCUGGAGGAAGAGAAAGCAAAUGCGAUUUCCUGAGUAGCGGCGAGCGAAACGGAACAUAGCCCAAACCAAGAGGCUUGCCUCUUGGGGUUGUAGGACAUUCUAUACGGAGUUACAAAGGAACGAGGUAGACGAAGCGACCUGGAAAGGUCCGUCGUAGAGGGUAACAACCCCGUAGUCGAAACUUCGUUCUCUCUUGAAUGUAUCCUGAGUACGGCGGAACACGUGAAAUUCCGUCGGAAUCUGGGAGGACCAUCUCCCAAGGCUAAAUACUCCCUAGUGAUCGAUAGUGAACCAGUACCGUGAGGGAAAGGUGAAAAGCACCCCGGAAGGGGAGUGAAAGAGAUCCUGAAACCGUGUGCCUACAAAUAGUCAGAGCCCGUUAACGGGUGAUGGCGUGCCUUUUGUAGAAUGAACCGGCGAGUUACGAUCCCGUGCGAGGUUAAGCUGAAGAGGCGGAGCCGCAGCGAAAGCGAGUCUGAAUAGGGCGUUUAGUACGUGGUCGUAGACCCGAAACCAGGUGAUCUACCCAUGUCCAGGGUGAAGUUCAGGUAACACUGAAUGGAGGCCCGAACCCACGCACGUUGAAAAGUGCGGGGAUGAGGUGUGGGUAGCGGAGAAAUUCCAAUCGAACCUGGAGAUAGCUGGUUCUCCCCGAAAUAGCUUUAGGGCUAGCCUUAAGUGUAAGAGUCUUGGAGGUAGAGCACUGAUUGGACUAGGGGUCCUCAUCGGAUUACCGAAUUCAGUCAAACUCCGAAUGCCAAUGACUUAUCCUUAGGAGUCAGACUGCGAGUGAUAAGAUCCGUAGUCAAAAGGGAAACAGCCCAGACCGCCAGCUAAGGUCCCAAAGUGUGUAUUAAGUGGAAAAGGAUGUGGAGUUGCUUAGACAACUAGGAUGUUGGCUUAGAAGCAGCCACCAUUUAAAGAGUGCGUAAUAGCUCACUAGUCGAGUGACUCUGCGCCGAAAAUGUACCGGGGCUAAAUACACCACCGAAGCUGCGGAUUGAUACCAAUGGUAUCAGUGGUAGGGGAGCGUUCUAAGGACAGUGAAGUCAGACCGGAAGGACUGGUGGAGUGCUUAGAAGUGAGAAUGCCGGUAUGAGUAGCGAAAGACGGGUGAGAAUCCCGUCCACCGAAUGCCUAAGGUUUCCUGAGGAAGGCUCGUCCGCUCAGGGUUAGUCAGGACCUAAGCCGAGGCCGACAGGCGUAGGCGAUGGACAACAGGUUGAUAUUCCUGUACCACCUCUUUAUCGUUUGAGCAAUGGAGGGACGCAGAAGGAUAGAAGAAGCGUGCGAUUGGUUGUGCACGUCCAAGCAGUUAGGCUGAUAAGUAGGCAAAUCCGCUUAUCGUAAAGGCUGAGCUGUGAUGGGGAAGCUCCUUAUGGAGCGAAGUCUUUNNNNNNNNNNNNNNNNNNNNNNNNNNNNNNNNNNNNNNNNNNNNNNNNNNNGUAAAGGCUGAGCUGUGAUGGGGAAGCUCCUUAUGGAGCGAAGUCUUUGAUUCCCCGCUGCCAAGAAAAGCUUCUAGCGAGAUAAAAGGUGCCUGUACCGCAAACCGACACAGGUAGGCGAGGAGAGAAUCCUAAGGUGUGCGAGAGAACUCUGGUUAAGGAACUCGGCAAAAUGACCCCGUAACUUCGGGAGAAGGGGUGCUUUCUUAACGGAAAGCCGCAGUGAAUAGGCCCAAGCGACUGUUUAGCAAAAACACAGCUCUCUGCGAAGCCGUAAGGCGAAGUAUAGGGGGUGACACCUGCCCGGUGCUGGAAGGUUAAGGAGAGGGGUUAGCGUAAGCGAAGCUCUGAACUGAAGCCCCAGUAAACGGCGGCCGUAACUAUAACGGUCCUAAGGUAGCGAAAUUCCUUGUCGGGUAAGUUCCGACCCGCACGAAAGGUGUAACGAUUUGGGCACUGUCUCAACCAGAGACUCGGUGAAAUUAUAGUACCUGUGAAGAUGCAGGUUACCCGCGACAGGACGGAAAGACCCCGUGGAGCUUUACUGUAGCCUGAUAUUGAAUUUUGGUACAGUUUGUACAGGAUAGGCGGGAGCCUUUGAAACCGGAGCGCUAGCUUCGGUGGAGGCGCUGGUGGGAUACCGCCCUGACUGUAUUGAAAUUCUAACCUACGGGUCUUAUCGACCCGGGAGACAGUGUCAGGUGGGCAGUUUGACUGGGGCGGUCGCCUCCUAAAGUGUAACGGAGGCGCCCAAAGGUUCCCUCAGAAUGGUUGGAAAUCAUUCGUAGAGUGCAAAGGCAUAAGGGAGCUUGACUGCGAGACCUACAAGUCGAGCAGGGACGAAAGUCGGGCUUAGUGAUCCGGUGGUUCCGCAUGGAAGGGCCAUCGCUCAACGGAUAAAAGCUACCCCGGGGAUAACAGGCUUAUCUCCCCCAAGAGUCCACAUCGACGGGGAGGUUUGGCACCUCGAUGUCGGCUCAUCGCAUCCUGGGGCUGUAGUCGGUCCCAAGGGUUGGGCUGUUCGCCCAUUAAAGCGGUACGCGAGCUGGGUUCAGAACGUCGUGAGACAGUUCGGUCCCUAUCCGUCGUGGGCGUAGGAAAUUUGAGAGGAGCUGUCCUUAGUACGAGAGGACCGGGAUGGACGCACCGCUGGUGUACCAGUUGUUCUGCCAAGGGCAUAGCUGGGUAGCUAUGUGCGGAAGGGAUAAGUGCUGAAAGCAUCUAAGCAUGAAGCCCCCCUCAAGAUGAGAUUUCCCAUAGCGUAAGCUAGUAAGAUCCCUGAAAGAUGAUCAGGUUGAUAGGUUCGAGGUGGAAGCAUGGUGACAUGUGGAGCUGACGAAUACUAAUAGAUCGAGGACUUAACCAU